Sinocyclocheilus grahami is the source of this 269-nucleotide long non-coding RNA. RefSeq lists it as uncharacterized. The record is from RefSeq and is a predicted model, not a curated record. NCBI's taxonomy places the organism in Eukaryota, Metazoa, Chordata, Actinopteri, Cypriniformes, Cyprinidae. The transcript has 3 exons.
UAUAUGAGCGAGCACGGCUAACGUUAGAGAAACAGCAGCAGCAGGAUGGCGAGCAAGGACACAACACAGAGUUCCCCACAUCCAACACGAACAAAAUCAUCAUGUGUUGGACUUCUGCGCUUUUUAUUUAUUGCAUUUAUUCACGUGGCACAGGCGAACAAACAAGCUUUCAUACAGUCAGACAACAUCCUGGAGGUACUACACUUUGGGGAAGGAGGCCUCUUGCAGACAGAGUCUGAUAUUGAUCUUAGCUCAUAUCGUCAAAAAAG